Molecule: long non-coding RNA, 1698 nt
Organism: Antechinus flavipes (yellow-footed antechinus)
Lineage: Eukaryota; Metazoa; Chordata; Mammalia; Dasyuromorphia; Dasyuridae
Exons: 2
Source: RefSeq, a predicted model, not a curated record
GGAUCGUCACAGUCAGAGACAUGUUCUUAUAAAACUGAAAACCAAAGAAUGUUCCUGCCAGCUCAGCUGGCACAAAAUAUUCUCUUUGGGUCACAAAAUCCUCAAAGAGAAAAUUUUCUAACUGGACUAGACCGAGAAAUUAUUUGUGUGACUCUAAAAAGAGAUCCACAGCAUGGUUUUGGUAAGUAACGAAGCUUGUGUAUGAAUGAUCCAACAUGUUCUCCAAAACAUGUGGAGACAUAGGAUUUAUGGGUGAGUAUGGGUAAGCUUUUCUAAUGAGGAAAGGUAGUUGGCUUUUUUCAUGUUUUUCAACUCUGUGAUUCAUUCCUUUUUUUAGACUACUUCUUCGUUUUUUUUUUUCCCUCUUCUCUUCAUGUGGACCUAAAGCAGAAGUUCUUAAUCUUCUUUUGUGUCAAGAGUCCCUUUAACAAUCUGGUAUGGGUCCCCUCUCAGAGCAGUAUUUUUAAAUUCAUCAUAUAAAAUACAUUGUCUUGAAAAGUAAUCUAGUUAUAUUGAAACACAGAUAUCAAUUAAAAAAACAAAACAAAACAUGCUCAUAGAUCCAAGGCUAGAAAUUCCUGUUUUAAAGUAUCAUGUAUAAUAUUUGUCCAGGAAUCAGUAAUAAUUCCAUUAGUCUCUUAUGGAGUACUUAUAUGCAAAAAGUAUUCUAAAUGCCAGAAGAAGGAUAUUACUUUAAUAGAUUAUCUAUCCUCAUGAAGUUUGUGUUUAGAAAGGAAUAGAGGGAGUAAACAUCCAUUUACAAGAGUCCUUAAACUUUUUAAAUAGGGGCCAGUUCACUGUCCCUAAGACUGUUGGAGGGCCGGACUAUAGUAAAAACAAAAACUUUGUUUUGUGGGCCUUUAAAUAAAGAAACUUCAUAGCCCUGGGUGAGGGGGAUAAACAUCCUCAGCUGCCACAUCUGGUCCUUCAGCCGUAGUUUGAGGAUCCCUGCUAAAGGAUGUUGGAAAAGUAAGAAGACUUAUCAAGAAAGAAGACAGGACUUUGCUGAAAUAUUAAGAAAACCAAAAAAGAGUUCUUUGAAUCUGAAGAGGAAGUAUCUGGUAGGAGUGAGGGAGGAGAUAAUGAAUACUUCCCUAACUUUCAGGGAGAUCAAGUAAAAUAAUAGCAAAAAAAAUCAUUAAAUUUGAUAAGUAAGAAGUUAAGGUUCACCUAAUAUAAGAGCAAUUUCAGUGAAAUAAUGAAGAAGUUUGAUGGCCAAGAGCUAAGGAAAUGUAGAUAAAGAGAAAAUGCAAGCAAGAGAGAUAGGGAGGAAGGAAAGAAUAAAAAAGAAGGCAGGAGAGAAGGAAAGAGUGGAGGAAGGAUUAAGGGGAGAAAAAUGAAGGGAGGAAAAAAGAAGGAAAACAAGAAAGAUGGAGAGAAAGGAAAGAAAAAAGGGAUUAAAGAAAGGAGGAAGGAAGAAAAGAAAUAAAGGAAGCAGGAAAUUAGAAAAAGAAGAAGAAAGGAAAAAAGAAAGAAAAAAGAGAAAAAAGAAAGAGAAUAAGAAGAAAGGAAGAAAAGUACAAGGAAGGAAAGAAAAAUGAGGAGAGGAAGGGAGAAAGGAAAGAAAGUAGGAAAAGAAAAAAGGAAAUGAAGGAAAGGAGGGAGAAGGUAGGGAGGAAGGAAAGAAACAAAGGAAGCAGGAAGAAAAACAAUGGAAAAGGAUAAAAAAGAAGAAAAGAAAGAAGGAUAAAGAGCAAA